ACUCCUGCUUUCACCUAAGCUGGACCAGGUCUACAGUCACCUGCUGGCUUCAUAACACAUUGCCAGUUUAAGCAACUCACAAGUGUAUGUGGACAUAAAAACAAGCUUCAUAUAUUGUGUGUCAUAGGGGACUGCCCUACCUGCCAAGGGUCUCACUGGAUCUCUGUACUCAUUUCCUGUUGCCAGCUGGUGGACAAUAUGGUGCUAAGAACUCAAGAAGUUGGUCCUCACGUUGAACCUCAGAGGUCACCAAACCUUUCUGGAUAGCUGCUAGGGAGUUUCUGGAGGUGCUCAAUAGUGACAUAUGUCAAGUUGAGAAGGGACAGCUGAUCUUCCAGGGUAGAGAUGGAUCCACUCCCCACUCUCAUAAAGAAGAUGUGGGUUUGUUUGACCUUCACUAUAUAGGAAAAAGCCUCACAAAUUCUUCAGCCCCUUGGAUGGAGGCUCAGCCUCCACACUGUAAAAUGCGGACAUAAUAACUUUUACAUAAUUUGAAAGGUUUCAUAAGAAUUGUCCCCCUAAUAUAUAUGAAGUGCCAUCCAAAUUAGAUUAACACAAGAGGAUUAUAUAAACACAGUGUAUUAUUUUUAUUAUUCUCAACUUAUCACAAUGGUCACCAUCCAACUUCUCAGUAGGAGUUAGGUUAAAGCUCACAGCUCACAGCACCCGUGGAGGCCAAAUCAUGCUGGGAUGGACCCUCUGUAUUUGCAGCCCAAACGUGUGUCUGUGAGCUGCAUGUGUUAAAACGUGUUUGCAUUUGGGAUGGGGACUGAGGAAGCAUCUGGGGACUGGACAGAAGAGUUUCCCCAGGAUGCAGUACUUUGAACAAACCAUGGAUUCCAGAAAAGACAUCUGUUUCCAUCAAGAACUAACAUGGAAUAAUAACAAAGAAGAUGUGGCCACAUGCUCUCAGGUAGAAACUGAAGGUCAAAGAAGAGAUAUGAGAAGGAGUUUUCCCAUCAAGGGAGGUCCUUUUCUGAUGGAUGACUAAGCCCUGAGAAAUGCUUAGAAAUAGGCAAGAGGGGAUGAAUGCUGCUCUACAUUCAGGUAGCUUUUUGGCUUGGCAAAACUUUAAAAUGUGAUGAAAUCUCUAGAGAGCAAGAAAAAAAAGAUACAGAAAUGGAAAAACCCUUAUGGACCCCAACAACAACAACAACAACAAAACUGUUCUCUAUUACCAUGGUCCCAUCUAUUCCUAUUGAAAUGUAGACCAAGAUGGAUAAGAUGAAUAUUGUAUGUUGACACAGCAAAAUAAUCUGCAGUAACAAAGCCAUGCCUUUGCUUCCUAAAGUUAUCAGAAUGGCACCUUAAAAUUAUGGUCAUAAAGGAACCUGUGAUUGGCCAUACGUUUGAGUUUUCAAGAAGAGAUCUUACACGGAACAUGAGAAAACUACAGUGACUCUCUUGAGAUUUUUCGAAUGACACACAAGCACCAAAGAGGAACUUUUGCCUUUUCGGACAAGUUAAGUACAUUAAAUAUAAUAAGGUCUGAUAAAUCAGAAACAAAAAGUGAAAUUCAUGUUAAGGCCUCAACUCAGUGUUUUAGAAGAGAAUUUUUCUGGGUUUUAUAGUAUCUGACAGUUAAUAGGCCAGGCACAGUGGCUCACACCUGUAGUCUCAGCACUUUAGAAGACAGAGACAAGUGGAUCUCUUGAGCCCAGGAGUUCGAGAACAGCCUGGGCAAUAUUGUGAGGCCCCCAUCUCUACUAAAAAUAACAAAAUCAGCUAUUAGCUGGGCAUGAUGGCAUGCAUCUGUGGUCCUAGCUACCGGGGAGGCUGAGGUGGGAGGAUUGCUUGAGCCUGGGAGGCAGAGUUUGCAGUGAGCCAUGAUUGCACCACUGCAUUCCAGCCUGGGUGACAGAAUGAGACCUUUUCUCAAAAAGAUAAAAAAUAAAUAAAAAAUUAAAGGAAUCCA
Molecule: long non-coding RNA, 1915 nt
Organism: Homo sapiens (human)
Lineage: Eukaryota; Metazoa; Chordata; Mammalia; Primates; Hominidae
Exons: 5
Source: RefSeq, a predicted model, not a curated record